AUUGAACGCUGGCGGCAGGCCUAACACAUGCAAGUCGAACGAGUGGCGGACGGGUGAGUAAUGUCUGGGAAACUGCCCGAUGGAGGGGGAUAACUACUGGAAACGGUAGCUAAUACCGCAUACCAUCGGAUGUGCCCAGAUGGGAUUAGCUAGUAGGUGGGGUAACGGCUCACCUAGGCGACGAUCCCUAGCUGGUCUGAGAGGAUGACAAUCCACACGGGAACUGAGGCCCGUUCCAUACUCCUACGGGAGGCAGCAGUGGUGAAUAUUGCACAAUGGUCGCAAGCCUGAGGCAGCCAUGCCGCGUGUAUGAAGAAGGCCUUCGGGUUGUAAAGUACUUUCAGCGAGGAGGCGUUACUCGCAGAAGAAGCACCGGCUAACUCCGUGCCAGCAGCGGCGGUAAUAC
RNAcentral lists this ribosomal RNA (406 nucleotides) under uncultured bacterium. Its description in RNAcentral is "partial 16S ribosomal RNA". It matches the Rfam family "Bacterial small subunit ribosomal RNA", at positions 30 to 526 of the family's 1533-position model. The record is from RNAcentral.